UACGUAGGGUGCAAGCGUUGUCCGGAAUUAUUGGGCGUAAAGAGCUCGUAGGCGGUUUGUCGCGUCGAAUGUGAUAACCCGGGGCUCAACCCCGGGCCUGCAUUCGAUACGGGCAGACUAGAGUUCGGUAGGGGAGUCUGGAAUUCCUGGUGUAGCGGUGAAAUGCGCAGAUAUCAGGAGGAACACCGGUGGCGAAGGCGGGACUCUGGGCCGAUACUGACGCUGAGGAGCGAAAGCGUGGGGAGCAAACAGG
This 253-nucleotide ribosomal RNA is filed under the name uncultured bacterium. RNAcentral describes it as "partial 16S ribosomal RNA". It matches the Rfam family "Bacterial small subunit ribosomal RNA", at positions 524 to 776 of the family's 1533-position model. The record is from RNAcentral.